AGUGAACGCUGGCGGUAGGCCUAACACAUGCAAGUCGAACGGCAGCACAGGAGAGCUUGCUCUCUGGGUGGCGAGUGGCGGACGGGUGAGGAAUACAUCGGAAUCUACUCUGUCGUGGGGGAUAACGUAGAGAAACUUACGCUAAUACCGCAUCCGACCUACGGGUGAAAGCAGGGGACCUUCGGGCCUUGCGCGAUUGAAUGAGCCGAUGUCGGAUUAUCUAGUUGGCGGGGUAAAGGCCCACCAAGGCGACGAUCCGUAGCUGGUCUGAGAGGAUGAUCAGCCACACUGGAACUGAGACACGGUCCAGACUCCUACGGGAGGCAGCAGUGGGGAAUAUUGGACAAUGGGCGCAAGCCUGAUCCAGCCAUACCGCGUGGGUGAAGAAGGCCUUUGGGUUGUAAAGCCCUUUUGUCGGGAAAGAAAUCCAGCUGGCUAAUACCCGGUUGGGGUGACGGUACCCAAAGAAUAAGCACCGGCUAACUUCGUGCCAGCCGCCGCAGUAA
This 506-nucleotide ribosomal RNA is filed under the name uncultured bacterium. Its description in RNAcentral is "partial 16S ribosomal RNA". It matches the Rfam family "Bacterial small subunit ribosomal RNA", at positions 29 to 523 of the family's 1533-position model. The record is from RNAcentral.